This is a non-coding RNA of Aspergillus egyptiacus, 101 nucleotides long. NCBI's taxonomy places the organism in Eukaryota, Fungi, Ascomycota, Eurotiomycetes, Eurotiales, Aspergillaceae. The record is from the annotation of a GenBank genome assembly.
GGCCGGGUGGCCUAGUGGUAAGGCGCCAGUUUUCGGGUAAACUCUAUCAGGGCUACUCUUUCAACCACUGGAGAUCGCGGGUUCGAAUCCCGUCUCGGUCG